RNAcentral lists this long non-coding RNA (824 nucleotides) under Pan paniscus (pygmy chimpanzee). Its description in RNAcentral is "lncRNA (ENSPPAG00000045481.1)". Lineage: Eukaryota; Metazoa; Chordata; Mammalia; Primates; Hominidae. The record is from RNAcentral.
UAGGCAUGUUUCAACAUGCCUGGCUAAUUUUUAAAAAAAUGACAGUGUCUUGUCAUAUUGCCCAAGCUCAUCUCAAACUCCUGGGCUCAAGUGAUCCUCCUGCCUUGGCCUUUGAAAGUGUUGGGAUUAUAGGCAUGAGCCACUGUGCCAGGCAGGAAGUAGGGUGUGAGAAUAAAUUUAGUACUAGAUAUUUUUAAGAAGGGGGAAUUGUUAAACAUUUACAAAGCCUACCAUUUACCAGAUCCCGUCUUAGGUAUUUUAUGCUGUUACAUGUAUAUCAUGAUGUUGGGAUAGAUCCAACUAGACUGUGACUCCUAGAAUGUUUAUUAGGAAUUGCCUGAAACUGCAACUUGCAAAUCAGAUGGUUUCUUUCUAGUCGACUAUAAGCCCCUUAAAGGCAAGCCCAUGUUUUAUACAAAUUCACUAUCUCCACAGCUCCUGGAAUAGUGCUUCAGAAGACCAUGAGAGAUACCUGUUAAAUAGCACUUGGAAAGUGUAUGCACGUAGUAGGCCCUUAAUCAUGGUGAUGGAUGAACGAGAACCCCAGGAAGCACAGGGAUCUGCUUGAAUCUAAAAGGUGUCAUAGAAGAGACAUGUCCUGGGCGUCAAAGGAACCCCAAGGAGACUGCACCCUAGGACCGGUGGGAAGUGGGCCUGUGAUGACUUCCAGGAGGACGUGCUUUGGGAAUCUGGUCUUGAAAGAGGAGAAGUUGGCCAGGCUGGAGGACAAGAUGGACAUUUCAGGUCAAGACAGCCUCAGGACAGCAUUGGAGAAAGGGCCCACGCCCCCAGAUUUGCUCUCUGGUGGCUAUUCAGAGUCAUAG